GAUGCUGUGAUGUUGAGACAAAGAAAUGCAGGGGAACUGGGGCUGGAAAGGUAGUUGGAGGCCUCCCCUGUCCUGCAGCAACGUGGUCUCCUGAUUUUUAUUUCCAGGAAAAGAGUUGGAAAUGAUAUUGGAGGACCAAGUGUUCCCCAUAGUUUUUCCCCGAAAGAGUUGGAGAAAAAUUUCGAAUAAUGAGCAAAAUCCUAUGGUUACCAACUCUUAUUUAGCAGAAAGAGCCCCCCAGUUCUGUCCAUACAGGUCAUUUAUUACACCCAGAGAAAUCUUUGUAGUCACUACAAAAGUGCAGCUACCUCUGGGGUACGAUGCAGCAGCUAUUUAACUGUCACGUAACAUGACAAUCGAGUGUCCUAUUAGAGCGAAAAUUUAAUUGUGAAGACGGGUACCAUAUUUAACUGCAAUCCUGGGGGGAAUUUAGGUUGACAGGCUGUAAUUACCCAAACUGGAACCUGGCCAGGACACACCUACUCUUUGCCAAAAGAGCUACGGGGGCGGGGGGGGGGGGUUCAACCACAGCAGGCCUGCUGACGCGGGAAGGUGGGGGAAUUGGCACUUGUGGCCCCACAGCGCCCCCUAACAGAGCUCUGGGCCAGCGCAGGUGCUGCGGGGAGCUGGCCUCUUCUGACCCUCCACAGUCACAGUGGCCUCCCAGGCCCCUCCCUGGCUCCACCUGGCUCCAGUCCAUCAUGGGUGAACAGAAACUUUCCAUUUAAGGUUGCAUGGCUGUGGGUUCUGUAGGCAGGGUUUUGCUGGGUCUUAUCUCUGUCUGUCUGUCUGUUUGGUCCUCUCUGUGUGUCUCUCCCUGGGACCUGCUGUUUCUCUCUUAUCAUGACGGAAGUGCUUGUCCUGAUAAAAUAAUUACCCACCAGAGCACAGUGGUUCUGAUCACCAGCUGCUGUUUCUACAUAGAGAUCAAUUAGAGGCAUGUUUUCACUGGGGAAGUGGGCUGGUAGGGCCCGUUUACUAAAAAUCCCAUUAGGAUUCUUACUGUGAAAUGCAUUAUACUUUGGUCUUCCAAAGCAGUUGCUAGCAGCAAAAAUAAAAAUUGGGCCAAGAAGAGGUAGAAAUGUGACCUGCUAGUGUCACCGAAGGGUUAACAGGGAGAAAGUUCUAGGCUGCGAGCAGCAGUGUGAAUAAAUGUGGUCUUAAUUUAAGGUUAUGGAUUUUUUUAAAAGCCUUGCUUUUUGUCUUCAGAAGUCUUUGCAUUCAUAUCAGUUAAAAAAUAAUUUAGACAGAAAAUAAAUGUUGGAGCAAACUCAAAUUAUUAUGUGCAUUUUAAAUAAACCUUUGUUUUCUGCCGCAGACAUAGCAUAUGAAUAAUAACAUUAAUAAUGAUCACGCUCAUUUGUCAAUGGAUGAUCUUUUCUCUCAGACCUUCCAGGCUGUUGGUUCCUGGCCUGUUUAACUGAGCCGAUCCUCCUUCAUGAGGGGAGCUGUGGAUAACAGGCCUGACUCUCUCCGCAGGGCGGAAAAGUGCAAAAGCCUAGGGUUCUAGUCCCAGCUCUGCCCUAAUUAACUGUGUAACCUUGGGCAAGGUGCUUAACAUCACCGGGCAGCUGUCAAAGAUCGGAAUGAUCUCUCAGGGGGAGGAGUGGAGCCCAAAGGUGAAAAGUGAAAAGCAAUGUAGUGACAUCACCUGGGAAGAUUUUCUUCUUCCUUUUUUUAAGAUAAAAGUUCUGAAAAAAGAAACAGACUCAAAAAGCAACUUCAGCGAAGCGAGUGUUAGAUGGGGCACAGGAGAAAGUUAGAUUAAGGCCAUUGUUUUUUAAAUAUAUGGGAUAUUUUUUAUUUAGUUUCUAAGGAUAAGCAUAUAUGCAUACACACAUAGGUACUUUUUUGUCAUAGGGAAAUCCACUUAAAAUGGUCACAUGUUAAAAAAUUGAAAGAUAGUUGAUUUGAAGUGUUGUGUUGGUUUCUGGUAUAUAGCAAAGUGAUUCCUAUAUAUAUGUGUGUGUGUGUACAUAUUAUAUAUAUAUAUAAUAUAUAUACACUUUUUUGUAUUAUUUUCCACUAUGUUUUGUUAUAGGAUAUCAAAUAUAGUUACUUGUGUUAUAUAGUAAAUCCAUAUUGUUUAUUUUAUAUUUUAUAUAUAGUGGCUUGUAUCUGCUAAUCCCAAACUCCUAAUUUAUCCCUCCCCCAUUCCCUUUCCCCUUUGGUAACCAUAAGUUCGUUUUCUAUGACUGUGAGUCUGUUUCUGUUUUGUUAUCUGUAUUGUCUUUGACUUAAUUCCCUCAGUAUGAGAAUUUCUAGGUCCAUUCAUGUUGCUGCAAAUUCUUUUUUAUGGCUGAGUAGUAUUCCAUUGUGUGUGUGUCUCUCUCUCUGUGUGUGUGUAGCACAUUUUCUUUAUUCAUUCAUCUGUCAGUGGACACUUAGGUUGUUUCCAUGUCUCGGCUAUUGUGAAUAGUGCUGCUAUGAACAUAGAGGUACAUGUAUCUUUUCAGAUUAGAGUUGUUCUCCAGAUGUAUGCCCAGGAAUGGGAUUGCUGGAUCACAUGGUAACUCUAUUUUUAGUUUUUUAAGGAAUGUCCAUACUAUUCUCCAUGGUUGCUGGUGGCUGUACCAAUUUAACAUUCCCAGCAACAGUGUAGGAGGGUUCCCUUUUUUCCACACCUUCUCCAACAUUUAUUAUUUGUAGACUUUUUUAAUGAUGCCCAUCCUGACCAGUGUGAGGUGAUACCUCAUUAUAGUUUUGGUUUGCAUUUCUCUAAUAAUUAGUGGUGUUGAGCAUCUUUUCAUGUGCCUAUUGGCUAUUUAUAUGUCUUCUUUGGAGAAAUGUCUGUUUAGGUCUUUUUUUGAUUGAAUUGUUUUUUCGUUAAAAUGGUCAUUUCUUGGCUUCCCUGAAAAGAGAUUUCUAUUGCUCUACAAAGGCAACAACAUUGUAAUAUUAGUAUCUAUUUAAUUUUCCAGUAGUAUAAAACUGUCCAGAUGUUGCCAGUAGAAGAAGAAUAUGUAAGGUUACAUCACACAAAAGUGCCAUUUCUAUAGGUCAAAAGAGUUGAGUAGAAGAAAUUUCAUAUGGUUCAAACUAAUAAUGUAUCAUCUAGGGUAUAUAUAUAUAUAUGUAUAUGUGUGUGUGUGUGUGUAUACCAUAAUAUACAUAUGGUGUGUGUGUGUGUGUAUAUAUAUAUAUGCCCUUUGAUAUAUAAUAAUAAUAAUACAGUUGAGAGAACUGUGAUUCUUCUAUAUUCUUAUUUCUCAGCAAAUAUUUUCUCAGUGAAAGAUCGGUACACCCUUCAUAUUCCUGUCCUAAUACUAAGACGACAUUAAGACUUAUCAACAGAAGACAGUUUAGUAUCCCAGGUUACAUUUCUAAACAUGGGGACAGGCCCUGAUUUGGUCCUUUAAGAAUCAAACGAGAAGUUGAUACAUGGAAAGAUCACUUAGAGCUGCUGGCUCCCAGCAAAGGCGAAGGGUGCCUUGCACACCUGGGAACACUGAUUGUAGUGGAAUUGGGCCCAGUGAGACCUCUUUGCACAGCUUCACACAGAGGUUUGAGAUGAUAAUAUAUGCCCCUGGGGAAGGAUGCCUUUUAGCAGAGUUAAUUGGCAAUUAUUUUUUAUUAGAGAUUUUAUAAAUUAAAAAUACAAGUUGUAUACCCAAUAAUGAUAUCAGAAGCAGCUAAUCUAAUGGAAUGUCCUGGGAUAUUUUCAAGAGAAAAGAUGGGGCUCCUAGAGGUAGGGAAGUUUCCAUGAAUAAAGUGAGUGCAUUCCAAAAUGAGUAAUGAAAUAAUAAUUCCAGAGAGGAACAAUCGAAUUUACCACUGAUUAAAAAUUUUACUUAUUUUUAAUUUAUGGACUUAGGUCUUUAUCUGUUGCUUCUUCCACCUCCAUAAAGUAGCCAGAAUAACCAGACCAAGUACUCCCUAAAACAUAAUUUUCAGUGGCGAUAACUAUAAAUUUUCAUUGUGAAAAGUCAAUAAAUUAUGGAAAACUAUGAAAUAAGCAAGUAAAAAUCGUCUGUAAUCUCAUCUCUCAGAAAGUAUGAUUUUAGAGCACUUUUACCCAGAUGAUUUUCUACCUGCACACACUUUUAAAAAAAUGCUCAAAAACCAAAUCAUUUUCCACCUCCAGUUCCUCCAAUUUCCAACUUUCUUUGUUUCCUUUAGUGACAUCCACAUGUCAACAGCUUUCCAUAUUAAUAGAAGCUAUUGAUCUUUUUAAAGUGACCACAUCGUCUUCAACUGUAUGCUUAACCAAUCAGCUAUUGAUACACAUUUAGAUAGCUUCCAGCUUUGCUACUCUAAAGCUCACUGAGAUGAUCAAUCUUACCGUACACAUCUUUGUGUACUUGUUUGCUUAUUCCUUAGGAUGCAUCUCUAGAGGUGGAAUCUGUGAGUCAACGGACAAGGCUUUUGUUAUUCAUUGCCAAAUUGCUCUCCAGAAAUGCUGUGCCUGUUUAUACUCCCAUUAGUGGCAAUUGCAAAUACCAAUUCCCCAUCACUUGGCCUGAGGAUGAGCUAUAUGUUUAAUCUUUGCUAAUCUGAUAAAUGAAAAAUUACAUUCUAUCAUUCAGGCUCACUGGUAGUCAACGAGAUGCCAAAUAAAACAGCACGUCUUCACUCUACAUAUAUUGUCAAUUUGCAUUUCUUCCUUUGUGGAUUACCUACUUAUGCCUUUUGCCAGUUUUUCUAUUUGGGUAUUCUUUGCUUUCUUAUUGUCUGGAAGGGCAGCAUAUUCAUCUACAUUUUAUUUUUCCAGUCAUACUGAGGUACCCUACAGUUAUAGCUCUCUUUUCCCUCCAAAUCACAUUUUUUCAUUACUUUCUAGAGGCUCUGGAAUGAAAGCAUAAGGGAUCUUGGAAACCAGAGCAGAGGAAACAUGACUAUUAAUAGUAACACUUGACAUUUCUAUUUGCAGUGUGCUACAGGAUCACUAAUUAGUCCCACCUUCAGCUUACCCCAGGGGUCACCCUGGCUGCCGUUCAUUCACCCUACAAGCCACUGAGGCACAGGACAGAGAAAGCUGUGGCUUUCCCCUUGGUGGGUAACACUCUCCUUGGCUAGGACUUAAAUCCAAGCUGCCCAUCUGUGCUGAAAUCAGAGGGAGGCACUUUCCUCCACAGAGGAAUCGCAGGGUGCGCUCAGACCAUGGGGAUGAGCUCUCUGGACGAAACUCCGCUACUGUCCCUUCCUCUUCACCCAAAAGGGAACUCAUAUAAUACAUAGGAUGGUUUGCACCUGGGGUUUUCUGACCUGAACAUGGGCCAUAGAACGGAUUGUACCACUUUGUAACUCACAGUUAAAUUGGACUAUCAGGAUGCCUACUGCAAGAGUUAGGGAGAACCAAGGAGAAAGGAGGGAAUGAGUGGACAGAAAAGGCCUUCUGACCUGCUGAAGUGUGUGCCCCCAAGGUGGCCUGGAGUGAAGUUCCUUCAUACCACAAAGGUCGAGUGCUCCCUGGGAACUAGGCUGGGGCUGGGGAAACAGUGACGCUUUGCAGUCACAGUGGAGUCUGAUAUGUACCGUUGUGUGGCUUAUAAGGGCAGCACAGGGCUCUACAGCAGCGGAGGAGAGACUUACUAGAAGGGGAGCCUCUCUGCUGAGAUCCAUUAGGGGCACAGGAGUUCAUCAGGAAAGGGCAGAUCUUUGAGGAUGGGAGAGAUGACGGCAACAUGCAAACUUUCAAGAAGAAUGGAGUGGGAGGGAUGCCAGGAAAGCCAGAUUUAGAAAAGAUAAUGGCCUACGGCAGUGCUUCUUCUAUUGUCUUUGGAGAAGGAUUAGGGCUUUUCCUCUCCAGUGUUGUCACAGACAGUAUUUUUGUAAUAAGAUGCAAUAAGGAUUUCCCGCUAUGGUGGUUUAAGAAUCCGACUGCAGCAGCUCGGGUUGCUCUGGAGGUUCGGGUUCUAUCCCUGGCCUGGUGCAGUGGGUCAAAGAAUUCAGCAUUUCCACAGCUGCGGCAUAGGUUGCAGCUGAGGCUUGGAUUCAGUCCCUGGCCUGGGAAUUUCCAUGUGCUCGGGGUGCAGCC
Molecule: long non-coding RNA, 5977 nt
Filed under: Sus scrofa (pig)
Lineage: Eukaryota; Metazoa; Chordata; Mammalia; Artiodactyla; Suidae
Description: lncRNA (ENSSSCG00000043826.1)
Source: RNAcentral